ACAGAGGUCUGCCUGCUUGACCGCCCCAGUCAUCAACACCCUUGCUGGCAAACUUGCACUACAGUAUAUUCAGGUUUAAAGCAAACAUUCAGUCAUUAAAAUGUGCAUUCUACCUGCCAUGAAUGAAGACUGAUGUUUAAUACGAAACUAAAACUUUGACCUCUAAUCUUGUUCUCUUCUGAAGUCUGGUCAUAUACAGCUUUAUCCAUGAGAAAAAAUAUGUUUUCAUUGAAACUAGGUGUGGGUAUUCAGAUCUAGAGCCUUUCAGAUAUGGAAUUGAGUUUACUUUACAGAUUGCUGAUUUUCAGCUUCAGCUGAAACAGUCUGCGGCCUGUGUAAUGUUUGUUCCUUUAAAGGGGACAUGUUUUGCAUAUUUAAUUUGUCCCGUCCCUCUAGUUUGUUAUAAAAGUUGUUGAUAUGUAAAAGGUCUGCAAAGUCUGUGAUAUCACGUGUUACAGAAGUGCAUAUGUAUGCCUAGCGGUUAGUCUGGUACACCCCCAAACAAAGCCAAGUAAAGCUAGAGCAGAGACCAACACUUUCUAUAUGUGCUGGAAGCAGUUGACCAAUCAGAACAAAGUGGGUCACCUGGCCAAUCAGAGCAGACUAGGCUUCAAUGGGAGGGGGGCCUCAAAAAGACAGGAGCUACAACCAAGUGUUUCAGACAGAGGCUGGAAAGAGGAGCUGCAGGAAUGGACAGUGUUGAGGAAACUGAUUCUUUUUCUGAACAUUUGAGCAUGUAAACCUUUUCAAGUAACAACACAAAUUAAAAUUAUGAACCUGAAUAUGAGCAUAAUAUGUCUUCUUUAACUUGGCUAAAAAGAGCAUACUAAUGUUACCUGAAUGUUUAUGCACAAUACUGUUGCUAAUAAAAAGGGACUGGGAGAGAAUGGAACCAGCUACCGUAACCCAAAACUAAUGGCAGGCAGCGGAUGGCUCAGGAGGAUACCUCUCACAAGGUGGCAGGCAGCAUGGGGACCCUGUACUACAUUGCAUGGAUGAAUACAUCUCCAAUUAGCCACAUAUAGAACCUAAACUGCCAUGGCAGUCCAACGGUUCAAUAUAAACACAAUGAGGUUAUACUGCAAUGCUCUCCUGGAACUAGUGAUUAAGAAGGAAGCAGCUGAAACGACAGAUGAAAUUGCCUGCCUUCAAGCCGAUGUGGCCGAGCUGACUUCACUGGUCACUCCAUCCAAACCAACAACCUGUCCUUUAAAAUCCUAUUCCAUCAUGGCUAUAUAAAGAUGUAUUACCGUGUAUCUCUGAGAGCUACAGGAGCUGCAGGAUCCAAACAUCAUUGCAUUUAUAAGUAUCAGUCUGGUUGAGAUUAAAACGGCAGUUGUACAACUAUUCUCUCUCUCGCUCUCUCUUGUCUCCUAAUGUGUCUCCUUUCCCCCUCAUUCUGCCCACCUCACCUCUCUCCCCCAUUUUUCUCCUCACUCCAACCGUUCGAGACAGUUGACCGCCCACAACCUAGUCCGUUUCUGCCAGUGAUUUCUUCCUGUUAAAAGGGAGUUUUUUUUCCUCCACAGUCGCCAAGUGCUUGCUAAUUGUGGGAUUUGUUGGGUUUUCCCUGUAAUAUUGUAAUAUUGACCUUACUAUGUAAAGUGCUUUGAGACAAUGUAUGUUGUGAUUUAGAUUUUUUGAUGUUGAAUUAAAUUGAAAAUUUUGUGGUCUGAGAUAAAUAGUAAUCACGUUUCGCAUUUUUAAGGGAAGCAGUGCAGCGAUUUCCAAAUAGGCGAAAGUGUGGCCAGUCAGCAACAGAACAAGACUUCCUUGCAACAGCCCAAAGCUGAUUCUUCCUGUUACUGGUUCCUCUGUCUCCAGAGCUGCAGGAUCCAAAUCUGACAUUAUUAGGGGCCGGAGUCGCCAU
Molecule: long non-coding RNA, 1870 nt
Organism: Scophthalmus maximus (turbot)
Lineage: Eukaryota; Metazoa; Chordata; Actinopteri; Pleuronectiformes; Scophthalmidae
Exons: 5
Source: RefSeq, a predicted model, not a curated record